RNAcentral lists this microRNA precursor (85 nucleotides) under Lutzomyia longipalpis. RNAcentral's name for it is "microRNA mir-186". Lineage: Eukaryota; Metazoa; Arthropoda; Insecta; Diptera; Psychodidae. The record is from RNAcentral.
GUGAACCGAUUUUCAAAAAUUUAUCUGUUUUGGAAAGAUACAUUUCUCAUCUUUCCAAAACUGAUAAAUUUUUGAAAAUCAGUCA